This 75-nucleotide transfer RNA is filed under the name archaeon. RNAcentral's name for it is "tRNA-Met". It matches the Rfam family "tRNA". From Rfam's summary of the family: Transfer RNA (tRNA) molecules are approximately 80 nucleotides in length. The record is from RNAcentral.
GCCACCGUAGCUCAGUCUGGUUAGAGCACCAGUUUCAUAGGCUGGGGGUCGAGGGUUCAGAUCCCUCCGGUGGCA